RNAcentral lists this long non-coding RNA (2771 nucleotides) under Homo sapiens (human). RNAcentral's name for it is "HSALNT0244165". Lineage: Eukaryota; Metazoa; Chordata; Mammalia; Primates; Hominidae. The record is from RNAcentral.
GGCAGUGCUAUGUACUGAACUGUUUCACACUAUCACAAAUAAAAUUGCAGGUUGAGCCUCACUUCACACACACACACACUCACACACACACACACACACACACACACGUGCGCACGCAGAGUAUCAGGAAAUAGCCUGUCCGUUUUGGCUGCAGACGCAGGGAUUUUGGUUUCCUUGGCUUCUGAGCUGUUCUUGGAGCGGGGCCAUCUAGGGAAACUGAGCAAGUACACGGGGCCAUCAAACUUGGGCUGGAUCCAUCAGGCACACAAAAAACACUCUCCAGCUCUCUCCCCGAAGUGGAGCAGACAAAAGUGCUGUUGAUGCUGAAGCUGCAGAAAGCUUCAGAAGGCCCCGUGGGAGGAAGCUUGGCACGAGAGGCGAGCAGCUCCAACUGACCCUGGAAGGGAGCAGCAGGCUGGGGUGAGAUCCAGACUCCGCUCAGAUCGGAAUGCCUGCACCCUUUGCCUUGCCUCACUGUGAAGGAGAGAAACGGUCUGCCUGGCCUGCGUCCCUUCCUGGGGCUGAAGCUUCUGGGCCUGCCCCAGGGUCCUGAACGGCUGACAACACACGGAUCAACUGGACCACUGGUGACCACAGAAAGGAGGCUGCAGCUGUUUCUUGCUACGCUUCGAGAGAUCAAAGAGCGUGCGGAGCACUGGCCCGCUUCAAAGAACAAGACCCAGGAGAGGAAGGGCCUCGCAGACCUCCUGACUCAAGGCGACCUCCUCCUGAUUCAGGGCACCCUCCUGACUUAGGGCACAUUUAGGCUCCUGCAAAGGGAGCGCAGCCUGAGGCCGUGAACAGCGCCACCCCCUAGUGGCUUAGAAGGGCCAUGCUAGUCUCUCCAGGAAGCCAGGCUGGGGUGCAGUGGCGCCAUCCUUGACUCACUGCAUCCUCGACCCCCUGGGCUCAAGUGAUCCUCCUGAGAGGUGACAGCGUGCUGGCAGCCCUGGCUCGCUCUCUGCGCCUCCUCUGCCUGGGUCCCACUUUGGCGGCACUUGAGGAGCCCUUCAGCCCGCCGCUGCACUGUGGGAGACCCGUCCUGGGCUGGCCAAGACCGGAGCCGGCUUCCUCAGCUUGCCGGGAGGUGUGGAGGGAGAGGCGCAGGCAGGAACCGGGGCUGCGUGCGGCGCUUGCGGGCCAGCGCGAGUUCCGGGUGUGCGUGGGCUCGGCGGGCCCCGCACUCGGAGCGGCCCCCCAGCCCACAAGCCCCAGGCAUUGAGGGGCUUAGCACCUGGGCCAGCAGCUGCUGUGCUCGACUUCUCGCCAGGCCUUAGCUGGCUCCCCGCGGGGCAGGGCUCGGGACCUGCAGCCCGCCAUGCCUGAGCCUCCCCUCCCCGCCAUGGAUGGGUUCCUGCGCGGCUGGAGCCUUCCCAAGGAUCGCCGCCCCCUGCUCCAGGGCGCCCAGUCCCAUCGACCACCCAAGGGCUGAGGAGUGCGGCGGCACAGCACCGGACUGGUAGGCAGCUCCACCUGCGGCCUUGGUGCAGGAUCCACUGGGUGAAGCCAGCUGGGCUCCUGAGUCUGGUGAGGACUUGGAGAACCUUUAUGUUUAGCUAAGGGAUUGUAAAUACACCAGUCGGCACUCUGUAUCUAGCUCAAGGUUUGUAAACACACCAAUCAGCACCCUGUGUCUAGCUCAGGGUUUGUGAAUGCACCAAUCCACACUCUGUAUGUGGCUUCUCUGGUGGGGACUUGGAGAACCUUUAUGUCUAGCUAAGGGAUUGUAAAUACACCAAUCGGCACUCUGUAUCUAGCUCAAGGUUUGUAAACACACCAAUCAGCACCCUGUGUCUAGCUCAGGGUUUGUGAAUGCACCAAUCAACACUCUGUAUCUAGCUACUCUGGUGGGGACUUGGAGAACUUUUGUGUCCACACCCUGUAUCUAGCUAAUCUAGUGGGGAUGUGGAGAACUUUUGUGUCUAGCUCAGGGAUUGUAAACGCACCAAUCAGCACCCUGUCAAAACGGACCAAUCAGCUCUCUGUAAAAUGGACCAAUCAGCAGGAUGUGGGUGGGGCCAGAUAAGGGAAUAAAACUGCUUAAAACUGCUUGCCCGAGCCAAAAGUGGCAACCCGCUGGGGUUCGUGUCCAUGCUAUGGAAGCCUUGUUCUUUCACUCUGCAAUAAAUAUUACUGCUGCUCACUUUUUGGGUCCACUCUGCCUUUAUGAGCUGUAACACUCACCGGGAAGAUCUACAACUUCACUCCUUGAGCCAGGGAGACCACGAACCCCUCGGGGAAGGAACGAAGAAUUCCAGACGCACCGUCUUAAGAGCUGUAACGCUCACCGCGAAGGUCUGCAGCUUCACUUCUGAGCCAGCGAGACCACGAGCCCACCAGAUGGAAGAAACUCCAAACACAUCCGAACAUCAGAAGGAACAAACUCCGGACACACUGCCUUUAAGAACUAUAACACUCACCGCGAGGGUCUGCGGCUUCAUUCUUUAAGUCAGUGAGACCAAGAACCCACCAAUUCUGGACACACUUCCACCUCAGUUUCCUGAGUAGUUGGGACCACAGGUGUGCACCACCACGUCUGGAUAAUUGUUAUAUUUGUUUUGCAGAGAAGGUUUCACCGCAUUGCCCACGCUGGCUUCAAACUCCUGUGCUCAAGGAAUCCACCCACCUCAGCCUCCCAAAGUGCUGAGAUUACCAUUGUAACCCAGUGCCUGGCCCUAGAAAAGUGUUUUGUAGCUGGGCAACAUAGCAAAACCUCGUCUCUAUAAAAUAAACAUUUUAAAACCAGCCACCAUGGUGGGACAUGCCUGCAA